RNAcentral lists this transfer RNA (73 nucleotides) under Candidatus Pacearchaeota archaeon. RNAcentral's name for it is "tRNA-Glu". It matches the Rfam family "tRNA". From Rfam's summary of the family: Transfer RNA (tRNA) molecules are approximately 80 nucleotides in length. Their secondary structure includes four short double-helical elements and three loops (D, anti-codon, and T loops). The record is from RNAcentral. Lineage: Archaea; Nanobdellati.
GCCCCCAUAAUGUAGCGGUCAAGCAUUCGGCCUUCUCAAGGCCGCAACCCGAGUUCGAAUCUCGGUGGGGGCA